Molecule: ribosomal RNA, 253 nt
Filed under: uncultured bacterium
Lineage: Bacteria
Description: partial 16S ribosomal RNA
Rfam family: Bacterial small subunit ribosomal RNA
Source: RNAcentral
UACGGGGGGGGCAAGCGUUGUUCGGAAUUACUGGGCGUAAAGGGCGCGUAGGCGGUGCUCUAAGUCGGAUGUGAAAACUCUGGGCUCAACCCAGAGCCUGCAUCCGAAACUGGAGUGCUAGAGUUCUGGAGGGGGUAGCGGAAUUCCUGGUGUAGCGGUGAAAUGCGUAGAUAUCAGGAGGAACACCUGUGGUGUAGACAGCUUACUGGACCAUAACUGACGCUGAGGCACGAAAGCGUGGGUAGCAAACAGG